AGAGUUUGAUCCUGGCUCAGAUUGAACGCUGGCGGAAUGCUUUACACAUGCAAGUCGAACGGCAGCACGGAGAGCUUGCUCUCUGGUGGCGAGUGGCGAACGGGUGAGUAAUAUAUCGGAACGUAUCCAAUAAUGGGGGAUAACGAGUCGAAAGAUUCGCUAAUACCGCAUACGCCCUACGGGGGAAAGCAGGGGAUCGUAAGACCUUGCGUUAAUGGAGCGGCCGAUAUCUGAUUAGCUUGUUGGUGAGGUAAAGGCUCACCAAGGCGACGAUCAGUAGCUGGUUUGAGAGAACGACCAGCCACACUGGAACUGAGACACGGUCCAGACUCCUACGGGAGGCAGCAGUGGGGAAUUUUGGACAAUGGGGGCAACCCUGAUCCAGCCAUUCCGCGUGAGUGAAGAAGGCCUUCGGGUUGUAAAGCUCUUUCGCAAGGGAAGAAAACUUAUGAUCGAAUAAAUCAUGAGGUUGACGGUACCUUGAUAAGAAGCACCGGCUAACUACGUGCCAGCAGCCGCGGUAAUACGUAGGGUGCGAGCGUUAAUCGGAAUUACUGGGCGUAAAGCGUGCGCAGGCGGUUUUGUAAGUCGGAUGUGAAAUCCCCGGGCUCAACCUGGGAACUGCGUUCGAAACUGCAAGGCUAGAGUGUGUCAGAGGGGGGUAGAAUUCCACGUGUAGCAGUGAAAUGCGUAGAGAUGUGGAGGAAUACCAAUGGCGAAGGCAGCCCCCUGGGAUAACACUGACGCUCAUGCACGAAAGCGUGGGGAGCAAACAGGAUUAGAUACCCUGGUAGUCCACGCCCUAAACGAUGUCAACUAGUUGUUGGUAGAGUAAAAUCUAUGAGUAACGUAGCUAACGCGUGAAGUUGACCGCCUGGGGAGUACGGUCGCAAGAUUAAAACUCAAAGGAAUUGACGG
This 918-nucleotide ribosomal RNA is filed under the name uncultured beta proteobacterium. RNAcentral describes it as "bacterial SSU rRNA". It matches the Rfam family "Bacterial small subunit ribosomal RNA", at positions 8 to 916 of the family's 1533-position model. Lineage: Bacteria; Pseudomonadati; Pseudomonadota; Betaproteobacteria. The record is from RNAcentral.